Molecule: ribosomal RNA, 528 nt
Filed under: uncultured bacterium
Lineage: Bacteria
Description: bacterial SSU rRNA
Rfam family: Bacterial small subunit ribosomal RNA
Source: RNAcentral
GGACGGGUGAGCAACACGUGGAUAACCUGCCCUGGGGUGAGGAAUACCGGCGAGAAAUCGCCGACAAGACCGCAUAGCCUUGGCAACAAGGAAAGGCUCUCGCACGAGAGUCGCCACAGGAGGGGUCCGCGUCCGAUUAGCUGGUUGGUGGGGUAACGGCCUACCAAGGCGACGAUCGGUAGCUGGUCUGAGAGGACGAUCAGCCACACUGGGAUUGAGAACGGUCCAGACUCCUACGGGGGGCAGCAGUGAGGAAUUUUCGUCAAUGGGGGCAACCCUGAACGAGCAACGCCGCGUGCAGGAAGACGGUUUUCGGAUCGUAAACUGCUUUUCUCUGGGACGAGUAAGGACGGUACCAGAGGAAUCAGCCCCGGCUAACUACGUGCCAGCAGCCGCGGUAAUACGUAGGGGGCAAGCGUUGUCCGGAUUUAUUGGGCGUAAAGGGCGCGCAGGCGGUUGCUCAAGUUUGUGGUGACAGUGCUCGGCUUCACUGAGCAAGGACCACGAAAACUGGGCGACUUGAGGGCU